RNAcentral lists this ribosomal RNA (410 nucleotides) under uncultured bacterium. RNAcentral describes it as "bacterial SSU rRNA". It matches the Rfam family "Bacterial small subunit ribosomal RNA", at positions 505 to 916 of the family's 1533-position model. The record is from RNAcentral.
GUGUCAGCCGAAAAGGGAAAAAGGAGGGGGCGAGCGUUGUCCGGAAUUACUAGGCGUAAAGGGCACGCAGGCGGUACGCCAAGUCGGGGGUGUAAAGUUACGGCUCAACCGUGACCUUGCAAUCGAUACUGGCGUACUGGAGUGCGGGAGAGGGAAGUGGAAUUCCCGGUGUAGCGGUGAAAUGCGUAGAUAUCGGGAGGAACGCCAGUGGCGAAGGCGGCUUCCUGGCCCGCGACUGACGCUCAUGUGCGAAAGCCAGGGGAGCGAACCGGAUUAGAUACCCGGGUAGUCCUGGCCGUAAACGAUGGGUGCUAGGUGUAGGCGCGUCAAGCGUCUGUGCCGCAGUUAACGCGAUAAGCACCUCGCCUGGGGAGUACGGUCGCAAGGCUGAAACUCAAAUAAAUUGGCGG